Molecule: small RNA, 87 nt
Filed under: Flavobacterium xinjiangense
Lineage: Bacteria; Pseudomonadati; Bacteroidota; Flavobacteriia; Flavobacteriales; Flavobacteriaceae
Description: Flavo-1 RNA
Rfam family: Flavo-1 RNA
Source: RNAcentral
CUCUAGCCCUGAUUGUAGUGGCAUCCCGCGCUAUCAUUGCGAGGAACGAAGCUAUCAGCGCGGAUACAACGGAAAGCAGGACAACCA